GGCUGACUGGCUGGCUGAGUGGGUGAUAGAGGCGAGGCAGGUGUGGUGAGGCGGAGGAUUGGAGACGAGAACCUACAGAUGACGGCAGACACGGAAGAUUCCACUAACCAGGAGUUGGUGAUCCGAAGCCGUGACUGCAGCGAUCCCGUGCGUCCUGCACCAUCAAGGGAAGGACUCUCUGGCUUCGCACUGCGCCUACAUUGACCGUUGCCGCCGCCGCCGGAGGGGCACUGCCUCGCAUUGGGCCUUCACUGCCGUCCCGCUAAUACACGUGUCGCCGUCGCAGCUACUGGCACUGAGGGACUUCGCCUCGCAGCGGCCUGGCAAACACCUGCUACACCACCACCACUAACUCCACCACCGCAGUCCAGAGAUUCAGCUUCGCAUAGCAGACAUCCUCCUAUUCAACGCUUGCUGCCACUACCACCUCAUUAUGGUGGUGUCACUGUACUUGGAUCUGUUGUCACUACUGAAUAAUAAUGUGUAAAGAAA
Molecule: long non-coding RNA, 492 nt
Filed under: Portunus trituberculatus (swimming crab)
Lineage: Eukaryota; Metazoa; Arthropoda; Malacostraca; Decapoda; Portunidae
Description: uncharacterized LOC123502413
Source: RNAcentral